RNAcentral lists this ribosomal RNA (795 nucleotides) under Nigrospora sp. RNAcentral's name for it is "partial large subunit ribosomal RNA". It matches the Rfam family "Eukaryotic large subunit ribosomal RNA", at positions 95 to 918 of the family's 3401-position model. The record is from RNAcentral. Lineage: Eukaryota; Fungi; Ascomycota; Sordariomycetes; Amphisphaeriales; Apiosporaceae.
GAAGCCGGACAGCUCAAAUUUGAAAUCUGGCCCUCGGGUCCGAGUUGUAAUUUGUAGAGGAUGCUUUUGGUGCGGUGCCUUCCGAGUUCCCUGGAACGGGACGCCUUAGAGGGUGAGAGCCCCGUACGGUUGGACGCCUAGCCUCUGUAAAGCUCCUUCGACGAGUCGAGUAGUUUGGGAAUGCUGCUCUAAAUGGGAGGUAUAUUUCUUCUAAAGCUAAAUACUGGCCAGAGACCGAUAGCGCACAAGUAGAGUGAUCGAAAGAUGAAAAGCACUUUGAAAAGAGGGUUAAAUAGCACGUGAAAUUGUUGAAAGGGAAGCGUUUAUCACCAGACUUUUUCUAGGGGGAUCAUCCGGUGUUCUCACCGGUGCACUUCCCCUGGUUGAGGCCAGCAUCGGUUUUCGGAGGGGGAUAAAAGCUUCGGGAAUGUGACUCCCUCGGGAGUGUUAUAGCCCGUUGCAUAAUACCCUUCUGGGGACCGAGGUUCGCGCAUCUGCAAGGAUGCUGGCAUAAUGGUGAUCAACGACCCGUCUUGAAACACGGACCAAGGAGUCGAACAUUUAUGCGAGUGUUUGGGUGUCAAACCCUCACGCGUAAUGAAAGUGAACGGAGGUGAGAGCCCUUACGGGUGCAUCAUCGACCGAUCCUGAUGUCUUCGGAUGGAUUUGAGUAAGAGCAUAACUGUUCGGACCCGAAAGAUGGUGAACUAUGCGUGGAUAGGGUGAAGCCAGGAGAAAUCCUGGUGGAGGCUCGCAGCGGUUCUGACGUGCAAAUCGAUCGUCAAAUCUGCGCAU